Molecule: ribosomal RNA, 492 nt
Filed under: uncultured bacterium
Lineage: Bacteria
Description: partial 16S ribosomal RNA
Rfam family: Bacterial small subunit ribosomal RNA
Source: RNAcentral
AGUGAACGCUGGCGGUAGGCCUAACACAUGCAAGUCGAACGGCAGCACAGUAAGAGCUUGCUCUUACGGGUGGCGAGUGGCGGACGGGUGAGGAAUACAUCGGAAUCUACUUUUUCGUGGGGGAUAACGUAGGGAAACUUACGCUACUACCGCAUACGACCUACGGGUGAAAGCAGGGGAUCUUCGGACCUUGCGCGAUUGAAUGAGCCGAUGUCGGAUUAGCUAGUUGGCGGGGUAAAGGCCCACCAAGGCGACGAUCCGUAGCUGGUCUGAGAGGAUGAUCAGCCACACUGGAACUGAGACACGGUCCAGACUCCUACGGGAGGCAGCAGUGGGGAAUAUUGGACAAUGGGCGCAAGCCUGAUCCAGCCAUACCGCGUGGGUGAAGAAGGCCUUCGGGUUGUAAAGCCCUUUUGCUGGGAAAGAAAAGCAGCAGGUUAAUCCCCCGCUGUUCUGACGGUACCCAAAGAAUAAGCACCGGCUAACUUCGUG